UACGGAGGGUGCAAGCGUUAUCCGGAUUUAUUGGGUUUAAAGGGUGCGUAGGCGGUUUGAUAAGUCAGCGGUGAAAUAUUUCAGCUUAACUGGAAGGGUGCCGUUGAUACUGUCAGGCUUGAAUUUAGUUGCUGUGGGUGGAAUGUGUGGUGUAGCGGUGAAAUGCAUAGAUAUCACACAGAAUAUCGAUUGCGAAGGCAGCUCACAAAGCUAAAAUUGACGCUGAUGCACGAAAGUGUGGGGAUCAAACAGGAGUAGAUACCCAGGUAGUCCACACGGUAAACGAUGAUAACUCGCUGUCGGCGAUACAUAGUCGGUGGCCAAGCGAAAGCGAUAAGUUAUCCACCUGGGGAGUACGACCGCAAGGUUGAA
This 372-nucleotide ribosomal RNA is filed under the name uncultured bacterium. RNAcentral describes it as "bacterial SSU rRNA". It matches the Rfam family "Bacterial small subunit ribosomal RNA", at positions 524 to 898 of the family's 1533-position model. The record is from RNAcentral.